UUUCGCAAUGCCCGAAAGGGUGACGAAGCGACGCCGCGUGCGGGAAGAAGGCCUUCGGGUUGUAAACCGCUGUCGGGAGUUAGGAAGUGCAAGGAUGUUAAUAGCGUUCUUGCUUGACUAAGGCCCCGGAGGAAGCCACGGCUAACUCUGUGCCAGCAGCCGCGGUAAUACAGAGGCGGCAAGCGUUGUUCGGAAUUAUUGGGCGUAAAGAGCACGUAGGCGGCUGUGUAAGUCGGUUGUGAAAGCCUUCCGCUUAACGGAAGAACGGCAUCCGAUACUGCAUAGCUUGAGUGCGGGAGGGGAGAGUGGAACUUCUGGUGGAGCGGUGAAAUGCGUAGAUAUCAGAAGGAACACCGGCGGCGAAGGCGACUCUCUGGUCCGUAACUGACGCUGAGUGUGCGAAAGCUAGGGGAGCAAACGGGAUUAGAUACCCCGGUAGUCCUAGCCGUAAACGAUGGGCACUAAGUAGAGGGGUUUU
RNAcentral lists this ribosomal RNA (478 nucleotides) under uncultured anaerobic ammonium-oxidizing bacterium. RNAcentral's name for it is "bacterial SSU rRNA". It matches the Rfam family "Bacterial small subunit ribosomal RNA", at positions 364 to 832 of the family's 1533-position model. The record is from RNAcentral.